This 301-nucleotide ribosomal RNA is filed under the name uncultured bacterium. RNAcentral's name for it is "partial 16S ribosomal RNA". It matches the Rfam family "Bacterial small subunit ribosomal RNA", at positions 509 to 807 of the family's 1533-position model. The record is from RNAcentral.
CAGCAGCCGCGGGAAUACGAAGGGGGCUAGCGUUGCUCGGAAUGACUGGGCGUAAAGGGCGCGUAGGCGGCGGCCAAAGUCAGGCGUGAAAUUCCUGGGCUCAACCUUGGGGCUGCGCUUGAUACUUGGUUGCUUGAGUGGGGAAGAGGGUCGUGGAAUUCCCAGUGUAGAGGUGAAAUUCGUGGAUAUUGGGAAGAACACCGGUGGCGAAGGCGGCGACCUGGUCCUUGACUGACGCUGAGGCGCGAAAGCGUGGGGAGCAAACAGGAUUAGAUACCCCUGUAGUCCCUGUCUCUUAUAC